Molecule: unclassified non-coding RNA, 366 nt
Filed under: soil metagenome
Description: partial contains 5.8S ribosomal RNA, internal transcribed spacer 2, and large subunit ribosomal RNA
Rfam family: 5.8S ribosomal RNA (bases 1-120)
Source: RNAcentral
GAUGAAGAACGUAGCGAAAUGCGAUAAGUAAUGUGAAUUGCAGAAUUCAGUGAACCAUCGAAUCUUUGAACGCACAUUGCGCCCGGCAGUAAUCUGCCGGGCAUGCCUGUCCGAGCGUCAUUUCUGCCCUCGAGCCUGUCCAGCAUCUAGGUGCUGUUCCGGCCCGGCGUUGGGGCACUACGGGAAGCCUCGUGCUAUCCCCCGUAGGCCCCGAAAUGAAGUGGCGGUCCUGCCGCGGCUCCCCCUGCGUAGUAUUACAGCUCGCUUCGGGACCCGGUGGAGGCCUGCCGUCAAACCUUACUCUCUAAGUUUGACCUCGGAUCAGGUAGGGUUACCCGCUGAACUUAAGCAUAUCAUAGCGGAGGA